GACGAACGCUGGCGGCGUGCCUAAUACAUGCAAGUAGAACGCUGAAGAGAGGAGCUUGCUCUUCUUGGAUGAGUUGCGAACGGGUGAGUAACGCGUAGGUAACCUGCCUUGUAGCGGGGGAUAACUAUUGGAAACGAUAGCUAAUACCGCAUAACAAUGGAUGACACAUGUCAUUUAUUUGAAAGGGGCAAUUGCUCCACUACAAGAUGGACCUGCGUUGUAUUAGCUAGUAGGUGAGGUAAUGGCUCACCUAGGCGACGAUACAUAGCCGACCUGAGAGGGUGAUCGGCCACACUGGGACUGAGACACGGCCCAGACUCCUACGGGAGGCAGCAGUAGGGAAUCUUCGGCAAUGGGGGCAACCCUGACCGAGCAAAGCCGCGUGAGUGAAGAAGGUUUUCGGAUCGUAAAGCUCUGUUGUAAGUCAAGAACGGGUGUGAGAGUGGAAAGUUCACACUGUGACGGUAGCUUACCAGAAAGGGACGGCUAACUACGUG
This 497-nucleotide ribosomal RNA is filed under the name uncultured bacterium. RNAcentral's name for it is "partial 16S ribosomal RNA". It matches the Rfam family "Bacterial small subunit ribosomal RNA", at positions 28 to 507 of the family's 1533-position model. The record is from RNAcentral.